Molecule: ribosomal RNA, 405 nt
Filed under: Galloisiana nipponensis
Lineage: Eukaryota; Metazoa; Arthropoda; Insecta; Grylloblattodea; Grylloblattidae
Description: partial 12S ribosomal RNA
Source: RNAcentral
UAAACUACGAUUAGAUACCCUAUUAUUUUAAAUGUGAAGAUUUAUGCUGGGGUAGUAGUAGAAUAUUUUCUUGAAACUCAAAGAAUUUGGCGGUAUUUUAGUCUUUUCAGAGGAACCUGUUUCUUUAUCGAUAUUCCACGUUUUAUCUAGCUUGACUUUGUUUUCAGUUUGUAUACCGCCGUUAUCAGAAUGUUUUUUUAGAAUUUAAAUUUUCGAUACUUUUUAUUGAGGGUGAUUUCAGGUCAAGGUGCAGCUUAUAGUUAAGUGAAAAUGGGUUACAAUAAAUAUAUUUAUAUGGAUAGUUUCAUGAAAUGUGAAAUUUGAAGGUGGAUUUGAUAGUAAUAUAAUAUAUAAUAUUAAUUUGAUUCUGGCUCUAGAAUAUGUACACAUCGCCCGUCGCUCUUA